UAAGGGUUAUUUUAAUUUGAGAAUAUUUAGCUGUUAACUAAAAGGUUGUUUCCCUUAAG
This 59-nucleotide transfer RNA is filed under the name Parastrongyloides trichosuri. RNAcentral's name for it is "tRNA-Asn". Lineage: Eukaryota; Metazoa; Nematoda; Chromadorea; Rhabditida; Strongyloididae. The record is from RNAcentral.